UACCAGCACCCCGAGUGGUCGGGACGAUUAUUGGGCCUAAAGCAUCCGUAGCCGGUCCUACAAGUCUUCCGUUAAAUCCACCUGCUUAACAGAUGGGCUGCGGAAGAUACUAUAGGGCUAGGAGGCGGGAGAGGCAAGCGGUACUCAGUGGGUAGGGGUAAAAUCCUCUGAUCCAUUGAAGACCACCAGUGGCGAAGGCGGCUUGCCAGAACGCGCUCGACGGUGAGGGAUGAAAGCUGGGGGAGCAAACCGG
Molecule: ribosomal RNA, 253 nt
Filed under: uncultured bacterium
Lineage: Bacteria
Description: partial 16S ribosomal RNA
Rfam family: Archaeal small subunit ribosomal RNA
Source: RNAcentral